AUUGAACGCUGGCGGCAUGCCUUACACAUGCAAGUCGAACGGCAGCACGGGUGCUUGCACCUGGUGGCGAGUGGCGAACGGGUGAGUAAUACAUCGGAACAUGUCCUGUAGUGGGGGAUAGCCCGGCGAAAGCCGGAUUAAUACCGCAUACGCUCUACGGAUGAAAGCGGGGGACCUUCGGGCCUCGCGCUAUAGGGUUGGCCGAUGGCUGAUUAGCAAGUUGGUGGGGUAAAGGCCUACCAAGGCGACGAUCAGUAGCUGGUCUGAGAGGACGACCAGCCACACUGGGACUGAGACACGGCCCAGACUCCUACGGGAGGCAGCAGUGGGGAAUUUUGGACAAUGGGCGAAAGCCUGAUCCAGCAAUGCCGCGUGUGUGAAGAAGGCCUUCGGGUUGUAAAGCACUUUUGUCCGGAAAGAAAUCCUUGGCCCUAAUACGGUCGGGGGAUGACGGUACCGGAAGAAUAAGCACCGGCUAACUACGUG
Molecule: ribosomal RNA, 486 nt
Filed under: uncultured bacterium
Lineage: Bacteria
Description: partial 16S ribosomal RNA
Rfam family: Bacterial small subunit ribosomal RNA
Source: RNAcentral